UACGGAGGGUGCAAGCGUUACUCGGAAUCACUGGGCGUAAAGGGCGCGUAGGCGGCCUAGCAAGUCUGGUGUGAAAGCCCAGGGCUCAACCCUGGAAGGGCACUGGAAACUGUUAGGCUUGAGUUCCGGAGAGGAGGGGGGAAUUCCCGGUGUAGCGGUGAAAUGCGUAGAUAUCGGGAGGAAUACCGGUGGCGAAGGCGCCCCUCAGGACUUAAACUGACGCUGAGGCGCGAAAGCUUGGGGAGCAAACAGG
Molecule: ribosomal RNA, 253 nt
Filed under: uncultured bacterium
Lineage: Bacteria
Description: partial 16S ribosomal RNA
Rfam family: Bacterial small subunit ribosomal RNA
Source: RNAcentral